GCUACAGGCUUAACACAUGCAAGUCGAGGGGCAUCAGGAAGAAAGCUUGCUUUCUUUGCUGGUGACCGGCGCACGGGUGAGUAACACGUAUCCAACCUGCCCUUUACUCGGGGAUAGCCUUUCGAAAGAAAAAUUAAUACCCGAUAGCAUAAUGAUUCCGCAUGGUUUCAUUAUUAAAGGAUUCCGGUAAAGGAUGGGGAUGCGUUCCAUUAGGUUGUUGGUGAGGUAACGGCCCACCAAGCCUUCGAUGGAUAGGGGUUCUGAGAGGAAGGUCCCCCACAUUGGAACUGAGACACGGUCCAAACUCCUACGGGAGGCAGCAGUGAGGAAUAUUGGUCAAUGGGCGCUAGCCUGAACCAGCCAAGUAGCGUGAAGGAUGAAGGCUCUAUGGGUCGUAAACUUCUUUUAUAUAAGAAUAAAGUGCAGUAUGUAUACUGUUUUGUAUGUAUUAUAUGAAUAAGGAUCGGCUAACUCCGUGCCAGCAGCCGCGGUAAUACGGAGGAUCCGAGCGUUAUCCGGGUUUAUUGGGUUUAAAGGGAGCGUAGGUGGACUGGUAAGUCAGUUGUGAAAGUUUGCGGCUCAACCGUAAAAUUGCAGUUGAUACUGUCAGUCUUGAGUACAGUAGAGGUGGGCGGAAUUCGUGGUGUAGCGGUGAAAUGCUUAGAUAUCACGAAGAACUCCGAUUGCGAAGGCAGCUCACUGGACUGCAACUGACACUGAUGCUCGAAAGUGUGGGUAUCAAACAGGAUUAGAUACCCUGGUAGUCCACACAGUAAACGAUGAAUACUCGCUGUUUGCGAUAUACAGUAAGCGGCCAAGCGAAAGCAUUAAGUAUUCCACCUGGGGAGUACGCCGGCAACGGUGAAACUCAAAGGAAUUGACGGGGGCCCGCACAAGCGGAGGAACAUGUGGUUUAAUUCGAUGAUACGCGAGGAACCUUACCCGGGCUUAAAUUGCAGUGGAAUGAUGUGGAAACAUGUCAGUGAGCAAUCACCGCUGUGAAGGUGCUGCAUGGUUGUCGUCAGCUCGUGCCGUGAGGUGUCGGCUUAAGUGCCAUAACGAGCGCAACCCUUAUCUUUAGUUACUAACAGGUUAUGCUGAGGACUCUGGAGAGACUGCCGUCGUAAGAUGUGAGGAAGGUGGGGAUGACGUCAAAUCAGCACGGCCCUUACGUCCGGGGCUACACACGUGUUACAAUGGGGGGUACAGAAGGCAGCUAGCGGGUGACCGUAUGCUAAUCCCAAAAGCCUCUCUCAGUUCGGAUCGAAGUCUGCAACCCGACUUCGUGAAGCUGGAUUCGCUAGUAAUCGCGCAUCAGCCACGGCGCGGUGAAUACGUUCCCGGGCCUUGUACACACCGCCCGUCAAGCCAUGGGAGCCGGGGGUACCUGAAGUACGUAACCGCAAGGAUCGUCCUAGGGUAAAACUGGUGACUGGGGCUAAGUA
Molecule: ribosomal RNA, 1445 nt
Filed under: uncultured organism
Description: SSU rRNA
Rfam family: Bacterial small subunit ribosomal RNA
Source: RNAcentral